This 72-nucleotide transfer RNA is filed under the name Toxocara canis (dog roundworm). It matches the Rfam family "tRNA". Rfam says of the family: Transfer RNA (tRNA) molecules are approximately 80 nucleotides in length. Their secondary structure includes four short double-helical elements and three loops (D, anti-codon, and T loops). Further hydrogen bonds mediate the characteristic L-shaped molecular structure. tRNAs have two regions of fundamental functional importance: the anti-codon, which is responsible for specific mRNA codon recognition, and the 3' end, to which the tRNAs corresponding amino acid is attached (by aminoacyl-tRNA synthetases). tRNAs cope with the degeneracy of the genetic code in two manners: having more than one tRNA (with a specific anti-codon) for a particular amino acid; and 'wobble' base-pairing, i.e. permitting non-standard base-pairing at the 3rd anti-codon position. Lineage: Eukaryota; Metazoa; Nematoda; Chromadorea; Rhabditida; Toxocaridae. The record is from Rfam by way of RNAcentral.
GUGGCAGGAGCUUAGCGGUAGAGCAUUCGCCUGGUAUGCGAAGAGACCCGGGUUGAACUCCCGCCCGCUUCC